UUGGAUUGAAGAAUUGCAUAGCUUUGGAGCCUUACACUAGUUGGGUGAAGAAGAGAUCAAAGUAAUUCAAGAUGACAUAUGCUUAUGAAAGACUUAUAUCCUUAGUAAUGGUCAAAUCAGGCACUAUUAAAGGCAUAACGGAGUUGCAAGAGGCUUUGGAUAGGAUGAAGUAAGAGAGGGACGAUUGGGAAGGCAAAUUUCACACCUCACACCUUGAGAAAGUAGAAUUGCAUAAGCAGCUAGAGGAGAAGG
RNAcentral lists this long non-coding RNA (252 nucleotides) under Lathyrus oleraceus (garden pea). RNAcentral's name for it is "Pisum sativum (pea) long non-coding RNA (PSAT_LNC018290)". Lineage: Eukaryota; Viridiplantae; Streptophyta; Magnoliopsida; Fabales; Fabaceae. The record is from RNAcentral.